RNAcentral lists this ribosomal RNA (465 nucleotides) under uncultured bacterium. RNAcentral describes it as "partial 16S ribosomal RNA". It matches the Rfam family "Bacterial small subunit ribosomal RNA", at positions 338 to 795 of the family's 1533-position model. The record is from RNAcentral.
CCUACGUGAGGCAGCAGUGGGGAAUAUUGCGCAAUGGGCGAAAGCCUGACGCAGCGACGCCGCGUGAGGGAUGAAGGUCUUCGGAUCGUAAACCUCUGUCAGCAGGGAAGAACGGUCACUGUGCUAAUCAGCAGUGAAUUGACGGUACCUGCAAAGGAAGCACCGGCUAACUCCGUGCCAGCAGCCGCGGUAAUACGGAGGGUGCGAGCGUUAAUCGGAAUUACUGGGCGUAAAGCGCUCGUAGGCGGUAUGUCAAGUCAAGGGUGAAAUCCCCGCGCGCAACGUGGGAACUGCCUUUGAAACGGGCAAACUGGAGUGUGUGAGAGGAUAGUGGGAGUCCAGGUGUAGGAGUGAAAUCCGUAGAUAUCUGGAGGAACAUCAGUGGCGAAGGCGACUAUCUGGCACAUAACUGACGCUGAGGAGCGAAAGCGUGGGUAGCAAACAGGAUUAGAUACCCUAGUAGUC